Molecule: ribosomal RNA, 217 nt
Filed under: uncultured bacterium
Lineage: Bacteria
Description: partial 16S ribosomal RNA
Rfam family: Bacterial small subunit ribosomal RNA
Source: RNAcentral
ACGCUCGACACCUACGGGAGGAGCAGUGAGGAAUAUUGGUCAAUGGGCGCAGGCCUGAACCAGCCAAGUAGCGUGAAGGAUGACUGCCCUAUGGGUUGUAAACUUCUUUUAUAUGGGAAUAAAGUUUUCCACGUGUGGAAUUUUGUAUGUACCAUAUGAAUAAGGAUCGGCUAACUCCGUGUCAGCAGCCGCGGUAAUCUGAGCGGGCUGGCAAGGC